CCUACGGGUGGCUGCAGUGGGGAAUAUUGCACAAUGGGGGGAACCCUGAUGCAGCGACGCCGCGUGAGUGAAGCAGUAUUUCGGUAUGUAAAGCUCUAUCAGCAGGGAAGAAAAUGACGGUACCUGACUAAGAAGCCCCGGCUAACUACGUGCCAGCAGACGCGGUAAUACGUAGGGGGCAAGCGUUAUCCGGAGUUACUGGGGGGAAAGGGAGCGCAGACGGCGGUGCAAGUCUGGAGUGAAAGGCGGGGGCCCAAACCCCGGACUGCUCUGGAAACGGUAAAGAUGGAGUGCAGGAGAGGUAAGCGGAAUUCGGAGGGUAGCGGGGAAAUGCGGAGAGAUUAGGAGGAA
This 351-nucleotide ribosomal RNA is filed under the name uncultured bacterium. RNAcentral describes it as "partial 16S ribosomal RNA". It matches the Rfam family "Bacterial small subunit ribosomal RNA", at positions 338 to 706 of the family's 1533-position model. The record is from RNAcentral.